RNAcentral lists this ribosomal RNA (521 nucleotides) under uncultured bacterium. RNAcentral's name for it is "bacterial SSU rRNA". It matches the Rfam family "Bacterial small subunit ribosomal RNA", at positions 25 to 518 of the family's 1533-position model. The record is from RNAcentral.
CAGGACGAACGCUGGCGGCGUGCCUAAUACAUGCAAGUCGAACGGUCUUUCUAUGGAAGCUUGCUUCCACUGAGAAGAUAGUGGCGAACGGGUGAGUAACACGUGGGUAACCUGCCCAUAAGAGGGGGAUAACAUCCGGAAACGGGUGCUAAUGCCGCAUAGUUUUCUUGAUCGCAUGAUCGGGAAAGGAAAGACGGCCUUUGUGCUGUCGCUUAUGGAUGGACCCGCGGCGUAUUAGUUAGUUGGUGAGGUAACGGCUCACCAAGACGAUGAUACGUAGCCGACCUGAGAGGGUGAUCGGCCACAUUGGGACUGAGACACGGCCCAAACUCCUACGGGAGGCAGCAGUAGGGAAUCUUCCGCAAUGGACGAAAGUCUGACGGAGCAACGCCGCGUGAGUGAAGAAAAGGUUUUCGGAUCGUAAAACUCUGUUGUCAGAGAAGAACAAGUUGGAGAGUAACUGCUCCAGCCUUGACGGUAUCUGACCAGAAAGCCACGGCUAACUACGUGCCAGCAGCGGC